Molecule: long non-coding RNA, 1201 nt
Organism: Ziziphus jujuba (common jujube)
Lineage: Eukaryota; Viridiplantae; Streptophyta; Magnoliopsida; Rosales; Rhamnaceae
Exons: 2
Source: RefSeq, a predicted model, not a curated record
UCUUGGAAAAUUAAGUUUUUCUCUAUAGAUGGUUUUUAUUUUUAUUUUUUUGUGCAUAUGCAGCUAUGACCUGCUCUGAUACAAUGUGUAUUAUAUCAUUUCCUCCUUGUCGUGGUGGAAGAGUUCCAUCUACCACAUGAGAGAGAUAUUUUUCCUUGGGUUUUUUUUGAAAAGUAAUCACUUUCCGAUUCAAUUGUUGAAAUAUAACAAUUUAAAAAAAAAAAAAAAAAAAAAAAAAAAAAAAAAAAAAAAACUAGCCAACUUUUGUUUCAUCAUGACUAAAAUACCCUUUGUUUUGUUUUUUUAGUUUUUUUUUUUUCUCUAUUUUUCCCUUUUCCCUUCCAAAACGCAUUCUAGGUUUUUUUUUUUCCCCUCUACUUUCCCCUUUCCCAUCCAAAACACAUUCUAGGGUUUUUUUUUUUUUUUUCUCUAUUUUCUCUUUCCCUUUCAAAAACAUCAUCGCUGUUGCCACUUUAACCAUAUUCUAAGGUUGUUUUUCUCUACUUUCCCCCUUUCCAUCCAAAACGCAUUCUAGUUUUUUCUUUUUUCUUUUUUUUUCCCCUCUACUUUCCCUUUCCCUUUCGAAGAAUAAUAAUCUCCAGUAGCCACUAUGACCACUUCACCAUUGCCAAUUGCCGAUGUCAUCCUCGUACCUCCAUCGUCCCAUCAAGAGCCAGAAGCAAUCUUCAUCCUCGCCGUCCCUUUGUCCCUUACGUACAAUAUCUUGGCCCUUCAAAUCUCCUCCAUUUUGAAGUCAUGAGUUCUAAUUUUAAUAGAUAUAGCCUGAAGAUUGAAGUUGAAAUUCUUGAAUGUUGAAGAUAUGGGAAAUUGGGUUUGGAAGUGGUAUUGUAGAAGAUGAUGAUGCGGCCAUGGUCAUGAUAUGGUAUUUCAUGUGGCGUGCUAAGGUGUCUCAGUGUUGAGGUGGCUGUGAUGACAUGGAAAUUGUGUAUUUUUUAUUUUGGCUACGUAUUUAUUUAUUAGUAAUAUUUUUAGGUAUUUUCAAAUAGUAUUUAAUACAAUUAUUUUUUAUUCCCUAUGGUAAGGAGCAAUUAUUAGUGACUAUAGAGAUGAGUGCUACAUGGACACGACUUCGGUGUGGCAAAAACUGUGAGUGAGAUUUUUAUUAGCAAAAAAUAUUUAAACUAUUAUUGCUAAACUAAAUUGGCCAGAGCAAUUAUUUAUAUUGGCAUAUUAAGUAUAA